CUGGUGGAGGGGGAGGAGGAGGUUGAGAGAUGUAUGGUAGAGGAGGAGGAGAAGGAAGGCCAGCAAUGUCUGGUAGAGGAGGAGGAGGAGGAGGGCACGCAAAUUUUGGUGGAGGAGGUGGAGGAGGUGGAGGAGGAGGGGCAGCGAUGUCUGGUAGAGGAGGAGGAGGGGGAAGAGAGCCAGCAAUGUCUGGUCCAGGAGGAAGAGGAAUAGGAGGAGGAGGAUGGACAGUGAUAUCUUGUAGAAGAGGAGGACCUGCGGCAGCGAAGUCUGGUUUAGGAGGAGGAGGAAGCAGAGGAGGAGGGCCAGAGAUGUCCGGUAGAAGAGGAGGAGGAGGGGCAGCAGUGUAUGGUGGAGGAGGCGUUGUAGAAGUAGGAGGAGGGUGAGCAAUGUAUGGUAGAGUAGGAGGAGGAGAUGGAGGAGGAGGGCCAGUGAUGUCUGGUAGAGGAGGAGUAGGAGGAGAAAGAGGAGGGCCAGCAAUGUCCAGGAGAGGAGGAAAAGGAGGGUUAGCAAUGUCUGGUAAGGGAGUAGGACGAGGAGGAAGAGGGCCAGCCAUGUCUGGUACAGGAGGAGGAGGAGGAGGAAGAGGAGGAGGAGGAGGAAGAUCAGCGAUGUCUGGUAGAAGCGGAGGAGGAGGGCCAGCGAAGUCUGGAAGAGGAGGAGGAGGAGCAGGAGGGCAAGUGAUGUCUGGUAGAGGAGGAGGAGGGCCAGCAAUGUGUGGUAGAGGAGGAGAAGGAAGAGGGUCAGCGAUGUCUGUUAGAGUAGGAGGAGGAGGGUCAGCGAGGUUUCGUAUAGGAGUAGGAGGAGGAAGAAGAGGGCCAUCAAUGUCUAGUGCAGGAGGAAGAGGAGGAGCAUGAGGGUCAGUGAUGUCUGGAGGAGGAGGAGGAGGAGGAGAGGUUCUAGCAAUGUCUUUUAAAGAAGGAGCAGGAUUAGAAGGAGGAGGAGGAGAAGGAAGGCCAGUGAUGUCCGGUAGAAAAGAAGGAAGAGGAGGAAGAGGAGGAGGAGUUCCAGCAAUGUCUGUUAGAGGAGGCGGAGGAUGAGGGCCCUCAAUGUCUGGUAGAGGAGGAAGAGGAGGAGGAGAAGGAGGGCCAGUGAUGCCUGGUAGAGAAGGAGGAGGAAGAGGAGGAGAAGGAGGCAGAGGAGGAGAGGCAUGGAUGUCUGGAAUAAGAGUAGUAGUAGGAGAAAUACUGCCAGCAAUGUCUGGUACAGGAGGAGGUUGAGGAGGAGGAGGAGGGUCAUCGAUGUCUGGUAGAAGAGGAGGAGGAAGGGAAGGAGGAGGAGGAAGAGAAGAAAGAGGAGAAGGAGGAGGAGGGCUAGUAAUGUCUGAUAGAGAAGGAGGAGGAUUAGGAUGAAGAGUAGGAGGAAGGCCCACAGUGUUUGGUAGAGGAGGAGGAGGAGGAGGGCCAGCGAUGUCUGGUAGAGAAGGAGGAGAAGGAUGAGGGCCAGUGAUGUCUGUCGGAGGAGGAGGAGGAAGAGGGCAAGCGAUGUCUGGUAGAGGAGGAGGAGGCCCAGAAAUGUAUCGGGGAGGAGGAGGAGGGAGCAGAGGGAGGAGAAGGGCCAGUGAUGUCCGGUAGAGGAGGAGGAGCAUCAGCAAUGCCUCUUAGAGGAGUAGGAUGAGGAGAAAGAGGGCCAAUGAUGUCUGGAAGGCGAUGAUUGAGGGGGGGAGGACAAAGAAGAGGGGGAGGGCCAGCAAUAUCUGGCAGAGGAGGAGGAGUAAGGCCAGCAAUGUCUUUUAGGGGAGGAUGAGUGCACUGAAUGUCUGGUAGAGGAGGAGGAGGAGGAGCUGGAGGAGUAGGGCCAGUGAUGUCUGGUAGAGAAGGAGGAGGAAGAGGAGGAGAAGGAGGAAGAGGAGGAGGAGGGGGGGCCAGAGAUGUCUGGUGGAGGAGGAGUAGGGCCAGAAAAGUAUGGUAGAAGAGGAGAAGGAGGAGGAGGGCCAGCAAUGUCUGGCGGUGGUGGUGGAGGAGGAGGAGGAGGAGGGCUAGCAAUGUCUGGUAGAGGAGGAGGAGGAUGAGGAGAAGGGCUAGCAAUGUCUGGUAGAGAAGGAGGAGGAUGAGAAUGAUUAGGAGGAAAAGGAGGAAGGCCAGAGAUGUCAGGUAGAGAAGGAGGAGGAGGAGGAGGAGGAGGAAGAAGAGGGCCAGAAAUCUCUGGUAGAGGAGGAGGAGGGCCAGCAAUGUCUUAGAGGAGGAGGAGGGCCAGUGAUGCCUGGUAGAUGAGGAGGAGGAGGGCCAGCAUUGUAUGGUUGAGGAGGCGGAGGAGGGCCAGCGAUGUCUGGUAGAGGAGGAGGAGGAGGGUCAGUGAUGUCUGGUAGAGGAGAAGGAGGAGGAGUGUCAGCAAUAUCUGGUAGAAGAGGAGGAGGAGGUUUAGCGAUGUCUGGCAGAGGAGGAGGAGGAGGAGGAUUAAGAGGUGGAGGAGCAGGAGGAGAAGGGCCAUCGAUGUCUGGUAGAGGAGGAUGAGCAGGAUGAGGAAGACAAGGAGAGGCAAGUGUGUCUGGUGGAGGUGGAGGAUAAAGUGGAGGAGGAGGAGGAAGAGAGGCAGCGAUGUCUAGUAGAGGAAGCAGAGGAGGAGGAGGAGCAGGAGGAGGAGCAGGAGGAAGGCCAGCGAUGUCUGUUGGAGGUGGAGGAGGAGGAGGAGAAGUUACUUUGUAUGACUUCUGGCUUUCAGAAUUUUCUGAGCCUGAGCCUAACCUGUGGGUCUGACUGAGAGAAUGUUUUAUAUAAAAUUGAGGAAAAUCCAUAUUGUUUGCCUCCUGAGUGGUGUACAUUAGAUAUCUCUGAGGUCUAAUCGCUUUAGUGUUUUAUUCCAGUUCUUUAUUUUCUGUUGGGUUGUGUUUGUGUGUGUGUGUGUGUGUGUGUGUGUUUUGGUACCAGGGAUCGAACUUGGGUCCUUGUGCUUGCGAGGCAGGCGGUCAAACCACUGUGCUAAAUCCCUAGCCCAGUUCUUUAUUUUCUUAUUGCUCUUCUUUCUGGUUGAAAUAUUCAUUCUGAGUUUUCAGUAUAGAAUUCUCCUAAUAUAAUUAAUUGUGUGUUCUUCAAUAUUGUCAAGUUUUUCUUCAUGUAAUUGGAAGCUUUAUGGUUGGAUGCAGAUUUGCUUAUGAUUGCUGUAUCUCUUGAUGAGUUCUCCCUACACACAUGCACUUUAUCUGUGGUAUUGGGAUUGAAAUCAUGGUCAUUGGACUGCUAGGUAAGUGCUGCAUUCUAUUAUUAUAACUUAGGAUCCUCCUGCCUUCACCCCCUAAAGUGGCUGGGAUUGCAGGUGUGUACUGCCAUGCCUGGCAGAUAGCCCCCCUUUUAAAUAUGAUAUCCUUUUUUGUCUCUUGUAACAGUUUUUGGCUUAAAAUUCUUGCCAUCUAUCUCUGGGUACUGGUUGUAUGGAGUAUGCUUUCUGUCCUUUCACUUUCAACCUAUUUGUGUUUUAGGCUCUGAACUGCAUGCCUUGGUGACAGUAUAGAGUCAGGUCAUGUUACUGUUCUCCAAUCUCUGCCUUUGAAUUGGAAAUUUUAUUCCAUUGACAUUUAUUUACACUGACCUUUGUCUCUCACAUGUUUUAUGUCUUUAUUGUUUUUCCUCAUUUCUUCCAUUAUUGUCUCAUGUUUUUUAUUUUGUUUUGGUAGUGUAUCAGUUUGGUUCCCUCCUCAAUUCCUUUUCUGAAUGUUUAGAAAUGUGUAUUGGUUAACAUAUUAGUUUUCUUCUAAUAUAGCAAAUGUGUAAGAUAAUUGUGUUAUAAAGAGAAAUGACAUACAUCAGUUCAUAGUUUACAAGGUUCCAGUCCAGGGCUGAUUACCCCAUGUUGUCCUCACUGCUUUGUGCCUUUGGCAAGUGGCACAUCAUGGUGGGUGUAUGUGGCAGAGAAAAACCACUUGCCUCAUGGAAACAAGUCAAAGUGGAAGAGAAAAGGGAAGUGGCAGCACACUCCAGGUCCGGUUCGGGGAUUUGCCUCUGUGACCAAAGUACCCCUCACUAGGCCACACCUCUUAAAGGUUCCAGCCCCUCGCAGGGGCACCACCCUGGGGGUGACCUUUAGUACAUGGGCCUUUGUGGGGCCUCCAACAUGCAAACUUUAGCACUUAGUCUGGAGGUGCCAAUUAAAUCUGAACUAUGCAACAAUUUAGUUUAAAUUAAUACAAAAUAAGGUGUGAUCCUUGGCAUAGAAAAUUUGAAUCUGAGUGUUUUGUUUUGGUUGCCAGCUUGGUGGUGGUGGGGGGAACUAUGGUCUACUUCUGUGAUGGAUCUUUGCAACAUGUGAGCAAGGAAUGCCCAAGCACAGGAAAUAAAAAGAGCAGGUCCAGGCAUGUAGUGGAAGCAUUGGCUUCUGGUGAGUGGCUUUGGGCAUUAUUUGCCCUGUGGCCAAGUCGCCCCUGCUUCUGGCUUCUUGUGGUCUUUUCCUCUGUGUUGCACCACCUGCAACCUCUUCUAAGCAUCCUUACUGCUGGGUUUGGGGCUCACUUGGGUAACCCUGGAUCUCAUCAUGAGAUUCUUAACUGAAUUAUACCUGCAAAGACCCUUUUUCCAAAUCAGUUAUAUUCAUGAGCUCUGGGGGUUAGGAUGUGGACAUAAUAUGUGGGCCACUACUGAACUCACCAUGGGGAGUCAGAGAGAAUGGAUUCUGUAGCUUUCACCAAGUGGGUACACUUGGCCUUAGAAGUUCAGGAACUACCAGAACCUACAGAAUCUGGAGGACAUUCCAGAUACACCUGCCUGCAGUGAGAUUUUCCCUUUCGUGUCAUUAUAGCACUUUAAAUCUAGAAAGGACCUCAUAGAGAAGCAUCACAUACUACUUAAGAUGUAAUGGUAGUCAUAGUAACCACAGCAGGAGGAGCCAACAUAUACUUAGCACCGAUUGGACACCUGGCCAUGUUCAUAUAUAUUUCAUAUAUAUUCAUUCAUGAUGUCCACCCAGCAAAGCCAACAGGAGGGUGUUAUCAUUACCAUAUUUUAUAGAAAAGAAAACGGGCACAGAAAGGUUGGAUGACUUGUUCAAGGUUGCACAGCAAGGGAGUGGCAAGGCUGGGAUCAGAACCUCAUCCAUCUAGCUCCAGAAUCUGCACUCCUAACAGCUGCACAGGCAGCAGAGAGGAGCCUUCUGAGUUUUCCCAGAAUACAUCUCAGCACAGCCCCUUUCCCCAGGCCCAGAAGUGAGACUCCCUUCAUCCUGAACAUGUGGACUGGCCAGACUAGAGGGAUUCCCCCAAACCUUCUCCACUCUAGGGUUACUGAUUUUCAUGGCAGGGAGGAAAGGCAGGAGCUUGUCUUCCAAAUUCAUAAAGGACCUUGAAGAUACUAGGACCAGGGUGGAAGCAUCUGAUUGGCCCAUUUUGGGUCAAUCAUGCUGAGAUGAAUCAGCAUUGACUUUGUGCCUAGUUCUGUGCUGGACAGAAGGUGGGAAAGGAGAGGCAUUGAGGAUACUGUCCCUCUUGAGUUUGCCAUCUUGGGAGAGAUGAGAUUUCUGAACUUGAAAUUAUCAGCUGUUUGUGUUCACUAGUGGCAGUUGAGGCUAUACUGCUAUAUAGCACAGUGCAGGCAGGCAUGGAAAUUCCAAUGGGGCCUGGACAUUUUAGCUUGGGGGUUUGUGAAAGGAAGCAAACCCAUUUAACAGAUGGGAAUACUGAGGCCAGAAGGCAUAGGUGCCUGAACUGCAGGGUGUGGGCUCCCAGACCUGGGUUCAAAGCAAACUUUGCUGAGCUUCUGUGUCCUCUUCCUGUGGGUUACAAGGAGGGAGUGAUGUGAUCACUGAGUGAAAUAAAGACAAGGAAGGUGAUUAUUUAGGCUGGGCUCCCCAGAAGCAGGGUCCAGAUGAAAACCUGGGGAUGUGUACUUUAUUUGGGAGAGGCCCUCAGUGGGCCUUGGAAGAGGUUGGGGGAGCCAGGCGGGAUGCCUGGGACCUGCUUUCCAGUGUCCGUGCUCACCCUUGUAGCCUCUUUGCAAGUCCGCACAGCAGAGAGAAUGGGAGCCCCCUGGCCUGGCAGUCUGUCACCAGAGAAGGAAAGGAACACGGGGUAAUUCCCUUCUCUCCUGGGAUGAGGUCCGGGGGCAUCCCCUCUGAUGUGGGCUCAGGACUUACCCUGUCCUAUGUCGUUGUCCUACAAGCCUAUGAUGAUAAAAGAGAAAGUCACAUUUAUGAAUAUUUUAUUAACACAUGAUUAUGGCAAUAAUUUCUCCCCCUUCCCCCUUCUAAAUUAUUUUAAGAAGAACAGCUGUUGGUCUGCCUGGAGGCCCUGCCCAAUGAUCUAUCCACUCUAUAUUCUGCUUUGGAAGGUUUCAUGAUAGAUUGUUCCAAAGUCAGCUAUUAAGAAUUUCACAGUUGGGCUGGGGAUUUAGCUCAGUGGUGCUGCUGCCUGCCUCGAAAGUACAAGGUCCUGAGUUCGAUCCCUGGUACCAGAAAAAAAAAAAAAAGGAAUUUCACAGUCGCAUAUAAAUCUCUUUGCUUUGUGUCAUAACGGAUCAUUUUGAAUUAUAUUAAGAAUCAUCUUCAUUAAUCAAGGCUUUUUUUCAUGAAGAUAGUACUCUCUUCCCAGUGUGCUUGGCUUCCUUAACUGAGUCUGAAAGCACUGGUCCUAUUCUACAAAACCGGUAUCAUCCCUGUGGGGAGAUGUGGGGCCAUAGAACCACACUCAGGGUUUUUGAACCCAUAAAGAAAUAACAGCCACUGCUAGUGUGUGUUUAGUGUUUGAUGGUUUCAGAAGCACUUACACCUCAGUGAUGUCUGUGAUCUGAUCAGACUCAGGCAAUAAUCCAGUGAGAAAAACUGCCUCCCACUAGCUGGGGGCCGGUCUGAGCCUGUUUCCUCCUCUGCACAAUGGGGCUCCUGCUAGUGUGAUAGUCAACCUGACUCCAUCUUGUGCCUCAAUGCCAUUUUGUACCUGUGCUUGAACAAAGUGAUUGCAUGUGAACAAAGCACCCAAAACCCCCACAUCCUGCUUGGCAGUAAACUUGCUACAGUUGCAGCAUGUUUUGUAGCUCACCUAGUGUGUGUGAAACUUCCUUGAAGCCCCUGCUAACCUGGCAUGAUUCUGCUUCUGUAAGAUUCUGCUUGCUCUCCCCUGAGCCCUCCCCAACUGAAAGCAUGAUUUAAAAGGUGAAAUCAAACUGCUUCCCAUUGCCAAGGAAACUUUCUGGGCGCUAGCCCUCCUCGGCCACUGGCUAUAAUAAAUGGGCUUGAAUCUGGCACAGAGUGUGGCACAUCUCUAUCGUCUGGACUCGCUCAUCCACAACACCUGGAGGCCCCAGCAAGAUGGGCACAGUGGGUGGACUGGCCUCGCUGUGAUCCCUCCCAUCUCAGCAAACCAUAGGGGAGGUGCCCCCUGAGAUGUUCCAGGGCCCCGUAGUCUCACUGCUGACACUGAAGGGAUUGCAGACAACUGAGACACCCCUCAAAUUUUCUGGAGCUCAUCUGGUCUGGUAAGGAUCCUUCUGGUUCUGGUGGAGAACAGUAGUCCUUGAUGAAGGCAUUCCCUGGUCCCCUCC
This 7460-nucleotide long non-coding RNA is filed under the name Heterocephalus glaber (naked mole-rat). RNAcentral describes it as "lncRNA (ENSHGLG00000040615.1)". Lineage: Eukaryota; Metazoa; Chordata; Mammalia; Rodentia; Bathyergidae. The record is from RNAcentral.